Molecule: ribosomal RNA, 566 nt
Filed under: uncultured Alphaproteobacteria bacterium
Lineage: Bacteria; Pseudomonadati; Pseudomonadota; Alphaproteobacteria
Description: bacterial SSU rRNA
Rfam family: Bacterial small subunit ribosomal RNA
Source: RNAcentral
GCUGGCGGCAGGCUUAACACAUGCAAGUCGAGCGGUCCCUUCGGGGAUAGCGGCGGACGGGUGAGUAACGCGUGGGAACGUGCCCUUCACUACGGAAUAGCCCAUGGAAACGUGGAUUAAUACCGUAUACGCCCUUCGGGGGAAAGAAUUUCGGUGAGGGAUCGGCCCGCGUCUGAUUAGGUAGUUGGUGGGGUAAUGGCCUACCAAGCCGACGAUCAGUAGCUGGUUUUAGAGGAUGAUCAGCCACACUGGGACUGAGACACGGCCCAGACUCCUACGGGAGGCAGCAGUGGGGAAUCUUAGACAAUGGGGGCAACCCUGAUCUAGCCAUGCCGCGUGAGUGAUGAAGGUCUUAGGAUCGUAAAGCUCUUUCGCCUGUGAUGAUAAUGACAGUAGCAGGUAAAGAAACCCCGGCUAACUCCGUGCCAGCAGCCGCGGUAAUACGGAGGGGGUUAGCGUUGUUCGGAAUUACUGGGCGUAAAGCGCGCGUAGGCGGACUGGAAAGUUGGGGGUGAAAUCCCGGGGCUCAACCCCGGAACUGCCUUCAAAACUAUCAGUCUAAAUUC